This is a long non-coding RNA of Cephus cinctus (wheat stem sawfly), 3786 nucleotides long. RefSeq lists it as uncharacterized. The record is from RefSeq and is a predicted model, not a curated record. The transcript has 4 exons. Lineage: Eukaryota; Metazoa; Arthropoda; Insecta; Hymenoptera; Cephidae.
CGGCGUCGCGACCAAACGUACCAGCGGCACAGCCGCCGAUCACGGUGUGUCGCAUGUUCGUCAACUGGCCUCGAACAUGGAUUCGAAUUGCUCCUGAGAACUAUCUGCUACCUCUGGACGUGUUGCUAAUGAAAGGUGGAUGGCGCGUUGUGGAAUGGCCCGAGUCUUGGCGCCCUCAAAGUACGAGAAAGGCCGCCACGUGGAGCAACAACUCCCGGAUCGACGAUAGCCGAAUGAUGAAGUAAUUCUCGCCAAUUUCGUGCACUCGAUGAAACAAACGAGACUCGUUUUCAUCCCCUAUCAGUGUCCCUGGUAGCGAUGGCCUCGAACCAACCCUUAUAAUCAAUUUGUCAAACCACCAUAGACGACUCUUCUGCCACAAUGUCGUCCAGGUACAAGGUAACCGAGUCGACCCGAGUCAGAGUCAGAAUCCAAUGAAUCUUCCAGAGCCCAAUUGGAUUUCCAGCUACGCAGCGCUACCAGAACCACAGGAUAGAAGGUGGGGAGGAUGAAGGGAUGCUGGGACUCGAGAGAUGAAAGAGAAAAGGAAUAAUUGACACGGAUGGCUAAAAUAUAAUAGACUCAAGGAAAGUUUGUACUUGUCGCUAGUCUGAAAGACGCUAGGAGGCAAAGGAGAAUAUAAGCAACCAGCUACCAGUAGCCACGUAAGCAGCCACCUAAAAGCUCUCUCAUUAAGAACUCCCCCUUCAUUGUUUACCAUCCUUUGUCUCUGCGCCUAAGAUGAAAGAAACCCCCCACGACAGAUUCAAGAAUUAGUUUUCAAUUUACGUGUUUCCGUUUCCCUCGUCCUCCUAAGCUUAUUUACAGCGAAUCAAGUUGCACACUUUCAAGAAUAGGCUCUGGGUACUCUGUGUAUAUACGUGCCGGUCGCCAUUUCCACCUUCAUCCCUCUCGAGGCGAACCCCUCUUUUGAGCUGAAUGAGAUCGCAGCAAUUUCAACGGGAUGAAUAUUUUAUUUUGAUUUGACCGGGCCAGAGGGGAUGCUCGUCCAGUGCAAUCACCUGUGAUAAAAAUCGAGAGGGAUUUCAAAUCCUGUUUCUUCUGACGCGUACGUUCGUUCCCCAGUGGACGCUGAUUCUCUUCUGGAUGGAUUAAAGCGAAGCGCCGAUGGAUGGUUGAGAGACGUGAAAGAGAAGAGAAAAAGAAGUGCCCAAGAAUAAUGUAGUAGAAGAUUUGGGAAAAUCGGAAAAGUUCAUGGCUUCCAGCCGGUAACUAACCGCUCGGCCGGAGGGGCUUGCAUAUUUCAGAACGUCAUCUAGAGUCGCCAGACUGAAGGGAGGACGAGGGGGUGGAUGUGCUCCAGAGAAAGGGUGAAAUGAAACGCGAAAGUAGUAGCGGGCUGGAGGUGGACGGGAAGGAAGGGAAAGUUGGCGAGGGAUGAAAUGUGAAGAGACGCUCACGGAAUACGGGUUAAGUGUUCUUAAAAUGAAAAAAAAUGAGGUGCACGCCCGCCGUGGCCGGAAAUACUUGGUGCUCGUCCUACCAGGAGACAUUGCGAUUAAAUAUUAACUCGAGGGAGGCAGCCAUGGAAAACUUUUAGAAGUCUGAGGAUGCGAAGCUAGAGACGGUACGAGGUGGAGGUUAGAGAAGUUGUAAAUAAAAGGAAGAUAAAAAAAGGAAAGAAGAAAGGCCGAGCAAACGUACGACGUAUCGAUCUGCCUUUGGAAUUUGGUGAAAACAAGAAGAUUACGGAAAGGAAGGAGCCGGGCUCAGGGCGCUUCUGCUUGAAUUAUAAAAGACUCUACGAAGUCUGAGGAACAUCGCCAGCGGCGAUCUAACGACGCAGCGCUAACGUCGUUAAAGUCUCUGCGUCGCGACGCCUUGACGAAAUAAUUCAAGGCUCCUCUCCUUCACUCUCUCUUUCUUUCUCUUGGCAUAGACCUGUAAAAGCUUUGGGAAAACAGCCUCGAGGGCUGCUACCCAACCCAGCAUAGCGGCCUAGAAUGGCUGUGGUCACGUCACAUUUACCAGUCUCCUUUCCAGCGUCACCACCACCUCCGCCACCGCCGCCGCCGCCACCACCACUUCUCUCGGGGACUAGAGUCUGGCAAUUAUUUCUUGUUUAGUUCGGCCGUAUAUCAGAUCGACGAAAGCAGCCACCAACUGUUACGGACAGUCACGUACGAGCCGAGCAAUAUCGCUGGCAGGACCUUUAUUCUUUCUUAUUACUUAAUAUCCCGGUAACGAGGAUAAAUGUGGGCCCCUCGUUGCCGACUAAUUGCCGCACAGCCAUGCCCGAACGCCUGACUCCUCAGAGUUCCCGAGGUUCGGCCUUAUCAGAGGUUAACGAGUGAAAAUAAUCCUGACGGCAUCCAGUGCAACUAUUCUCAAGAGCAACCUCAUAAGGGGGCACCGUUUACUUGGCUCCACCAGCUCAUUUGCAGAUUCCUUCAUUUACUCGCUGCUUGGAUAUUUUUCCUCCUGGAUUGCCAGUUCAGUUAUGCAGGAGACGAACUUGCUGGAUUGCUUCCCAGAAGCAGAGACUGUUUGAACUAGGCAACCAGCGAUCAGCAAGAUCCGCUCCUCGACAUCCAGACGAAUGCUUUAAUUUCAGUUUGAAAGAGAGCGGCUGCACUAUCCAAUUGCUGCCAGAGGGUACCAGGUUGCUACGGAUGCUGGUUCCUGCCAUUACUCGUCCCCGCAACCGGCCCUUCGCCCCGGUCGGCUCUGCAUACUCGAAAUGCUCGAGAAUUGAAUCGUAAAUUGAACUUCAUCUAUUUCGCAGAACGACGGGCUCUAAGGACGCCUCGCGCCGCGCGGCGUCGGCAUUUGUAAUCGGUACCUAGAAGCGCGAGGAGGGACGACGAAUUUAUUGAAAAUUGAAUCUCACCAGGUCGCCUUACACGUCCUCGUACAGUCUGACGAAUAGCCAAGCAGAAACCAACGCUGUCACUCAUCCCUGCAGUCUUACUUCUCUUUGUUUUUUUAAUCUGGCUUAAUCCUUUCAAAAAUUAACACGAUCUCAAAAAGUUUUCAAGCACUUCGCAGUCGGCCUCGAAAACCGUCGAGGGGAUGCUGCUAGGAGAAUUCUCAAUGGCGAACGGGUUGCCGAUUAAUUAAUCUAAAUUUUAGCCCGAGGCUCACGCGACAGGGCGAAAUUAGAAUUUGUCGCUGCAGGGGUGAGUUUAUUAACAGGGGCUCGAUGUGCAGCGGCUUUUUCGACUGAUUCGUUUAUAAAUUACGUUGACGCCUCUUUAAUAAUUAACGUUCAGUAAUUAACGCUCUUAGCUCUGGCCCUCCCCCUGGCCCCCUCUUGAUAGCUAAAUUCGUUUUCAACGCAAACAUCAAAAACAAAGAAGAGAAUAGAUCUGCGUAAGGAAGAUGAAAUAUUUUCACCUUCAAAAUCCAGCUCGAUAUUUCAGCCCCAACGAUCCGUCUUCUCAUCCGUUCAUUUAUUCUUCCCUCGGCAAGAAUAUCCUACCAGCCGAAGCCCGAAACGCAUGGAACGACCGCAGCGACCUCGGGAGCUGGGAAGAAAAUUCGCAGUAUUUUCGCCUGGAAAAACUACCCUCUCACUCUCUAACGACUCACGCAAUACCUAACUCCUCGAGAACACGCACCGGCAGUCGCAUCCGGGUCGCACGACCUCGAAGUCCUUCGCAACCUCCUUUCGUAGCUGCACCUACCCAUCUGCCCCUCGAGCACCCUCUGGAAGAACGAGUGGGCUCGCUUAGCCGGAACUGGAACAAAUUUCCAGGAGGUUGCAUGAUUCAGAGGAAUCCCGGUCACUCGAGCAGAGACACGAAACUGUGGGGGAAAAAAGAG